CAGUAGCCGCGGGAAUACGUAGGGUGCGAGCGUUAAUCGGAAUUACUGGGCGUAAAGGGAGCGUAGGCGGAUGUUUAAGUCAGAGGUGAAAGCCCAGGGCUCAACCUUGGAACUGCCUUUGAUACUGGACAUCUUGAGUGUGGGAGAGGUAAGCGGAACUCCGAGUGUAGAGGUGAAAUUCGUAGAUAUUCGGAAGAACACCAGUGGCGAAGGCGGCUUACUGGCCCAUUACUGACGCUGAGGCUCGAAAGCGUGGGGAGCAAACAGGAUUAGAUACCCCUGUAGUCCCUGUCUCUUAUAC
This 301-nucleotide ribosomal RNA is filed under the name uncultured bacterium. RNAcentral's name for it is "partial 16S ribosomal RNA". It matches the Rfam family "Bacterial small subunit ribosomal RNA", at positions 509 to 807 of the family's 1533-position model. The record is from RNAcentral.